AUGUGGAAACAAGAGGCCCUUCAACAGCCAUUUUCAACUGAAGAAGACAGUGAUUCAGGCUCAGCUCGAACUCUUGAAUUUGAUUUGAAACUUGGUUUGGCUGGAAUUGGAAGUGGGUUGGUAGUGGGAGUGGUUCUUGCUAUUGAUACGGAAAAGCAGCCUUCUUGCCAUGCCGAGGAGAGCUCAGCCUUGCUGCAGUUCAAGGAGAGCUUUAUUAUUGACAAAUCUGUUUCAAUUUAUGACGGUGCUUAUCCAAAGGUUUCAUCAUGGAAACCAGCUGGAGGAGGAAAUAGCAGUUGCUGCUCGUGGGACGGCGUGGAGUGUGACGAGAUGACGGGUCAUGUUAUUGGCCUUAAUCUGAGCAGCAGUUAUCUUUACGGCUCUUUCGACUCAAAUAGUAGCCUAUUUAGCUUGGUGCAUCUUCAAAGGUUAAGCCUCUCUGACAAUAAUUUCAAUUACUCUCAAAUUCCAUCUAGCAUUAGAAAUUUUCGAAGCCUCACUCAUCUUGACCUCUCUGACUCUGUCUUUUCUGGUCAAGUACCAUAUGAAGUCUCACACUUGUCCAAGUUGACAUACCUUGAUUUGUGUUGCAAUAUUGACGGACCUGAUGAUGAUCCUCGGCGAUUGCUGAAACUUCAACCAUCGGACAUGAGAAGUCUAGUUCAAAAUUUAACUAGUCUAGAGACCCUCUCUCUCAGUUACAUUAACAUAUCUUCAAUCAUACCGGUUUCCUUGACAAAUUUAACAUUUUUGACAUCCCUUAACCUCAAGAGAUGUGAUCUGUUUGGCGAAUUCCCAGUGAGAAUUUUCAAUUUACAAAACUUAAAAGUUCUUAGUGUGAGAUACAACCAAGAUCUCAUUGGAUAUUUUCCUGAAUUUAAUCGAAGUAGUCCUCUAAUCUCACUGAAAGUUUCUUAUACUAGGUUUUUCGGACAAAUACCUUCCUCGUUAGGAAAGCUUAAUUCAUUGCAAGACUUGGAUAUGGCUCAAUGUAAUUUUUCAGAAGGGUUGGUUCCAUCUGCACUUGGUAAUCUUAGACAGCUCACUUAUCUAGACAUUUCAGAAAACAAAUUUGGAGGUACAAUUCCUGAUUCCUUGGCAAACCUUACCCAAUUGACUGAGUUUAGGAUUAGUACGAAUUAUUUAACUGGUCCAAUUCCAUCUUGGCUAGGUAACUUAACCAAACUAGUUAACCUAGACAUUACGGAUAACUUCCUUUCUGGAGAACUUCCAAUUGUCAUACCCUGGGUUAACUUGCUCUGCUUGAGGCUUUCAAACAACAUUUUUCAUGGACGAUUACCGAUCCCUCCACCAUCCUUGCUAGAAUAUGGAGCCGCUAACAACAAAUUUACCAGAGAAAUUUCACCAUUGCUUUGCAAUAUGAAUUCUCUUAUGUACCUUGACUUGUCAAAAAAUAACUUGAGUGGCAUGCUUCCUCAGUGUCUCGGAAACUUUAGUGACGGUCUAAUCCUUUUACUUAUUGGAAGCAACUUUUUCAUGGCAUGAUGCCUCAAUCAUUCAACAACAAAAGCAGUUUGAGGAUGAUUGAUGUUAGUCAUAACCAAUUGCAGGGGCAAUUACCUAGGUCAUUGGCGAAUUGUGUGAUGCUUGAGUAUCUGGUUCUGUCAAACAAUCAAUUCAGUGAUGUUUUUCCCAUUUGGUUGGGGACUCUUCCAGGGUUAAAACUUUUGGCAAUGCGCCAUAAUGGGUUUAAUGGUGUGAUAGGACAAUCCAGAACAAAUGUUGACUUCCCCAAGUUACGCAUUCUUGAUUUGUCUUACAACAAUUUUAGAGGUGAGAUUCCACCUUUGUUUCCAGAUAUUGUUGUAAACAUGUCAACAUACAUGCAUGCACAAGUACAGUAUGUCGUCACUGGUGUUUAUCUUAGACGAAAUAUUUCUUACUCAAUCACAAUGGCAAUUAAGGGUUUGGAUUUGUACUAUUCAAAGAUUCAAGAAGGCUUUGCAGCCAUUGACAUCUCAAGCAACAAAUUUGAAGGUAAGAUUCCAGAAUUCAUUGGGAACCUUAAGGAGCUUCGCUCACUCAAUAUUUCCAGCAACAUUCUCACUGGUUCUAUUCCAUCAUCCUUGGGGAACUUAAGGAAUCUUGAAUCGUUGGACCUUUCACAGAACAAGCUGUCAGGACAGAUCCCCCAACAACUGACGAGGCUUACAUUCCUUGGGAACUUUGAUGUGUCUCACAACAAUCUCACAGGUACCCAACUUACUUCAUUGAAUAGCACUUCGUAUGAGGGAAACCCAGGAUUGUGUGGAGAUCCAUUACCAAAAUGCGGAAAUCAAGAGGCCCCUCAACCGCCACCUUCAACUGAAGAAGACAGUGAUUCAGGCUUAGCUCGAACGCUUGAAUUUGAUUUGAAAUUUUGUUUGGCUGGAAUUGGAAGUGGGUUUGUAGUGGGAGUGGUUCUCGCGGAUGUCACCAUCACAAGAAGGCAGGAGUUGUUUCUUAAGAUCGUUGGAAUGUUCAGGCUAAUGAUAUGGAAAAGGUAG
Prunus mume (Japanese apricot) is the source of this 2507-nucleotide non-coding RNA. The record is from RefSeq and is a predicted model, not a curated record. NCBI's taxonomy places the organism in Eukaryota, Viridiplantae, Streptophyta, Magnoliopsida, Rosales, Rosaceae.